AUUGAACGCUGGCGGCAUGCUUUACACAUGCAAGUCGAACGGCAGCGCGGGCUUCGGCCUGGCGGCGAGUGGCGAACGGGUGAGUAAUUCAUCGGAACGUGCCCAGUAGUGGGGGAUAGCCCGGCGAAAGCCGGAUUAAUACCGCAUACGACCUGAGGGUGAAAGCGGGGGACCGAAAUGCCUCGCGCUAUUCGAGCGGCCGAUGUCGGAUUAGCCAGUUGGUGGGGUAAAGGCUUACCAAGGCGACGAUCCGUAGCUGGCCUGGAAGGACGACCAGCCACACUGAGACUUGGACACGGCCAAGACUCCUACGGGAGGCAGCAGUGGGGAAUUUAGGACAAUAGGGGCAACCCUGAUCCAGCGAUGCCGCGUGCGAGAAGAAGGCCUUCGGGUUGUAAACAGCUUUUGUGCGGGAAGAAAUCCUCUGGGCUAAUACCCCGGGGGGAUGACGGUACCGGGAGAAUAAGCACCGGCUAACUACGUG
RNAcentral lists this ribosomal RNA (484 nucleotides) under uncultured bacterium. RNAcentral's name for it is "partial 16S ribosomal RNA". It matches the Rfam family "Bacterial small subunit ribosomal RNA", at positions 29 to 507 of the family's 1533-position model. The record is from RNAcentral.